AUUGAACGCUGGCGGCAGGCCUAACACAUGCAAGUCGAACGAGUGGCGGACGGGUGAGUAAUGUCUGGGAAACUGCCCGUUGGAGGGGGAUAACUACUGGAAACGGUAUCUAAUACCGCAUACCCUCUGAUGUGCCCCGAUGGGAUUAGCUUGUAGGUGAGGUAACGGCUCACCUAGGCGACGAUCCCUAGCUGGUCUGAGAGGAUGAUCAGUCACACUGGAACUGAGACACGGUCCAGACUCCUACGGGAGGCAGCAGUGGGGAAGAUUGGACAAUGGGCGAAAGCCUGAUCCAGCCAUGCCGCGUGUGUGAAGAAGGUCUUCGGAUUGUAAAGCACUUUAAGUUGGGAGGCGUUACCAACAGAAUAAGCACCGGCUAACUUCGUGCCAGCCGCCGCGGUAAUUC
This 406-nucleotide ribosomal RNA is filed under the name uncultured bacterium. RNAcentral describes it as "partial 16S ribosomal RNA". It matches the Rfam family "Bacterial small subunit ribosomal RNA", at positions 30 to 526 of the family's 1533-position model. The record is from RNAcentral.